GGAUGUGAGGGCGAUCUGGCUGCGACAUCUGUCACCCCAUUGAUCGCCAGGGUUGAUUCGGCUGAUCUGGCUGGCUAGGCGGGUGUCCCCUUCCUCCCUCACCGCUCCAUGUGCGUCCCUCCCGAAGCUGCGUGCUCGGUCGAAGAGGACGGCCUUCCCCGAAUAGAGACGGACCGGUCUCGGUCGAGGGUAUACGAGUAGCUGCGCUCCCCUGCUAGAACCUCCAAACAAGCUCUCAAGAGAAAACUUACUUAUUAAGUAAUAUGGAAAUAGGUUAUACAUUACUUUUUUUUGAUCACCGG
RNAcentral lists this small nuclear RNA (302 nucleotides) under Erinaceus europaeus (western European hedgehog). Its description in RNAcentral is "7SK RNA". It matches the Rfam family "7SK RNA". From Rfam's summary of the family: 7SK was discovered as an abundant small nuclear RNA in the mid-70s but a possible function has only recently been suggested. Two independent studies have found that 7SK RNA binds the CDK9/cyclin T complex (known as elongation factor P-TEFb). Lineage: Eukaryota; Metazoa; Chordata; Mammalia; Eulipotyphla; Erinaceidae. The record is from Rfam by way of RNAcentral.